This 352-nucleotide ribosomal RNA is filed under the name uncultured bacterium. Its description in RNAcentral is "bacterial SSU rRNA". It matches the Rfam family "Bacterial small subunit ribosomal RNA", at positions 917 to 1271 of the family's 1533-position model. The record is from RNAcentral.
GGGUCCGCACAAGCGGCGGAGCAUGCGGAUUAAUUCGAUGCAACGCGAAGAACCUUACCAAGGCUUGACAUAUAGAGGAAAAGUGCAGAAAUGCACUCCCCGCAAGGUCUCUAUACAGGUGGUGCAUGGUUGUCGUCAGCUCGUGUCGUGAGAUGUUGGGUUAAGUCCCGCAACGAGCGCAACCCUCGUCCUAUGUUGCCAGCACGUAAUGGUGGGAACUCUAAGGAGACUGCCGAUGACAAAUCGGAGGAAGGUGGGGACGACGUCAAGUCAUCAUGGCCCUUACGUGUAGGGCUACACACGUGCUACAAUGGCCGGUACAAACGGUUGCGAACCUGCAAAGGGAAGCUAA